GGUAAAAACCAUGUGUUUGACCACCAUUUUCAUGCUGACAUGUGCUGCCUUUAUUCAAGGAUCAAGCAGUCAGGUCACUGUGACUCAGACUCCUUCAAUGAAAACUGUCAAUGUAGGAGAAUCAGUGAGUCUGGGAUGCAAACUGAGUCAACCUGCUUAUGCUUCUGGCAGCACUACCUAUGUCUCCUGGUACCAACAGAAACCUGGAGAAACUACUAAACUCCUCAUUUACAAGACAAGCAGUCUUCAGUCAGGAACUCCAUCGAGGUUUAGUGGCAGUGGGUCUGGGACUGACUUCACCAUGACCAUCAGUGGAGUCCAGGCUGAGGAUACAGCAGUUUACUACUGUCAGAGUUACCACUAUAUCAAUAGUCAGUAUGAGUUCACACGGUGA
Lampris incognitus (smalleye Pacific opah) is the source of this 394-nucleotide non-coding RNA. The record is from the annotation of a RefSeq genome assembly. Lineage: Eukaryota; Metazoa; Chordata; Actinopteri; Lampriformes; Lampridae.